GACGAACGCUGGCGGCGUGCUUAACACAUGCAAGUCGAACGGAAAGGCCCUGCUUUUGUGGUGUGCUCGAGUGGCGAACGGGUGAGUAACACGUGAGUAACCUGCCCUUGACGUUGGGAUAACUUCAGGAAACUGGGGCUAAUACCGGAUAGGAGCUCCUGCUGCAUGGUGGGGGUUGGAAAGUUUCGGCGGUUGGGGAUGGACUCGCGGCUUAUCAGCUUGUUGGUGGGGUAGUGGCUUACCAAGGCUUUGACGGGUAGCCGGCCUGAGAGGGUGACCGGCCACAUUGGGACUGAGAUACGGCCCAGACUCCUACGGGAGGCAGCAGUGGGGAAUAUUGCACAAUGGGCGGAAGCCUGAUGAAGCAACGCCGCGUGCGGGAUGACGGCCUUCGGGUUGUAAACCGCUUUCGCCUGUGACGAAGCGUGAGUGACGGUAAUGGGUAAAGAAGCACCGGCUAACUACGUG
This 468-nucleotide ribosomal RNA is filed under the name uncultured bacterium. RNAcentral describes it as "partial 16S ribosomal RNA". It matches the Rfam family "Bacterial small subunit ribosomal RNA", at positions 28 to 507 of the family's 1533-position model. The record is from RNAcentral.